RNAcentral lists this long non-coding RNA (3319 nucleotides) under Canis lupus familiaris (dog). RNAcentral's name for it is "lncRNA (ENSCAFG00030019541.1)". Lineage: Eukaryota; Metazoa; Chordata; Mammalia; Carnivora; Canidae. The record is from RNAcentral.
GGCCCAGAUUUUUGAUCUAGUUGUGCCCCCUCUGCUUUGCCCUCUCCCAAUUUACCAACCUGAAUUACUCAUCCAUCUAAGUAAGUCAACAUUUCAACAUUUUUAAAAGAAAAGACUUGAAAACCCAAGGUGUAGAAACUGAUAAAUUCCAAUCAGAAACCUACAGAACCUUAGGGGCUUGGGGGUAAAGUCGAGGACAGCAAAGGGGACCUCGGAGGGAGGGGCCGUGUUGGUCUGUUAGGGGCAGCAAAGAAGAGGAGAGGAUGCCAGGCAGAAGAUUCCCCAACUCACAGCCUUGCUUAGCAGCAGGACGCUGCAUAUUGUUAAAACAAAUAUAUUCUUAACAUCGUCCAGCUCUAUUUUAUUUCUGGCUGAUGUGGAAAAUACUAAAGUACUUUAAAAACUUGAACAAGCAGAAUUUGACUUGCUCAGUGUCUUGCUGCAUCAAUGCAGUAACUCUUGCCUCCUCCUUACUCUGGGUGUCUCCAUCCCUGGUGGCAGGCAGCUCACCCACAAUUGUGUCCCCAAGUGGCACCCAGUUGUGCCAUCGUGGACAGCUGGGAGCCCAGCCUGCCGUCCUCCUGCAGUCCCCCCUCCACCAUUCGAACCUUCUGACUUAGGUUCCUCAAUGUGCCUAUUAUCCAACCUCAUCAAGUCCUCUGUCCCUUGACCGUAGCACGUUUUUCCUGACACUCUGGUCCAUAUCUACAUCCUGUCCUCUCCCUCUUACACCUCACAGGCCAUCCUUUCAACUACCCUUUGGCCAAUACCUUCAAAGGCCUGCUGUCUUCCUUUCAUCACACCUGCCUCCACCUGGGUAAUGAACUCGCUAAAGAGGAAUGCGUGCAGAUUAGCUCCAUUAAAAGAAUGUAUAUUAUCUCCACUAAAAAUGUGUGUCUUCGGUCCCAAAGGGAGGUUUGCUUGGCCGAGUAGUCAGUCCUGCUUCCUGUUUUCCACCGUACGCCCUCCCAAGCUUGUCUACACUUCAAAUCUUUCACCUUAAUGCUCGCCCAUCUCACUGCACCUUCUUCACAAGAAAAAAGGGGGGCGGGGAAAGGCCUCUUAAGGGAACUGUCGAUUUCUUGCCAAACUAUAUCUUUAGCAAUAAGUGUUUUGUUUUUUUUCUUCUGAUUUAUUUUAGGGGAAGAGAUUCUCUUUCUAAUUCUGAUUCUCAUUCUGUCUUGUAUCCCUUCUGAUCCUGUCACGGUUUUCCUGCCAUCUCCUGUAUGUUUAAAUUUCUCCUUCGGCCAUCUCAUUUGUUAAAAAAAUAAUAAUAGUUAAACUUGGCCAAAAAAUCUUCAUGCCUCUUUACGGCUUCCAGAUUUGCCCCGAGAUGUUGCAUGAAGGUAUAUCUGCCCCUAAUAUCUCCACUUUGUCAUUUGCCCCUCACUGAAUAUUCAAACCUCCGCAAAAGGGGCUUGAGUUCUAUCAGUUCAUGAAAAUCACUUUUUUUUUUUUCAACAUUACCAACCCAAAUCCAAUGGUAGCUUCUCAGUUCUUCUGAUCCAUUCUGUUUUCCGUUGAAUUGUGUCCUCCUUUAAGGCCUAAUGCUCGGUGCCCGUGGAUGUGGCCUUAUUUGGAAACAGGGUCUUUGUGGACCUAACCAAGCUUAAACAAGGUUAUCCUGGGUUUAAGAUGGAUCUUAAUCCAAUGACUGCUGUUCUUAAGAGAGAAAUUUGCAGGUAGACAGACAGGGGGAGGAUAUCACGCGAUGAUGAAGGCAAAGUGUGUAGCGGGGUGUCCACAAGGCAAGAAACACCAAUGACUGCCAACCACCCCCAAAACUAGGAGAGGGGCGUGGGGCAGGUGCUCCCUCAGGCCCCCAGGCCUGCAAUGCCUAUUGACACCAGUACACCAACACGCCAAGACUCCAUAUAUUCCAGCUGUUUUUAUUUUUUAUUUUAUUUUAUUUUUUACAUUCCAGCUGUUUUAAGCCACCUAGCGUGUGGUGCUUUGUUAACAGCAGCCUGAGGAAAUGAGUACGAAUCCACAGGUUCGUUGUGACUCUACUACUCCUUCCUGCUCAGGGAGCCUUCCCUGUUGGCUUCUGCGGCACCACAUGCACCCAGUCAUCCUAUUCCUUCUCCCUCCUUGCCCCAGCCUACUCUCCCUCCAUGCAGAAGUGUGAUUUGGGGCGCUCCCCUCUGUCCUCUUCCUUCCUCACCAUCACUAUUCUUUGCAGAUCCCUUGAUCACCUUCCACAAGUGUAUCUACCAUUACAGUAGUAUACAGAAUAGUUCAGCCACCUUAAAAUCCCUUAAAAUCCCUCCCUCCAUCCUAACCACUGGCAAUCACUGAUCUUUUCAGUGUCUCCAUAGUUAGGCCUUUUCCAGAAUGUCAUAUAGAUAAUUAUACAGUAUGUACCUUCUUAGUUUGGUUUCUUUCAUUUAACUAUGUGCAUCUGUUUCCUCCAGGGUCUUUUUUCUUGUGUGUGGUUUGAUGGCUCAUUUCUUUGUUUUAAUAAAUAAUAUUGAAUGGAUGUCACACUCUGUAUUCAUUCACCUGGUAAAGGACAUCUUGAUUGCUUCUAAGUCUUGGCAAUUAUGAAUAAAGUUGUUGUAAACAUUCAUGUAAAGAUUUUUAUGUGGAUAUAAAUAUUCAAGUCAUUUGGGUAAAUACCAUGGAGCAUGAUUGCUGGAUUGUAUAGUAAGAGUAUGUUUAGUUUUGUAAGAAAUUGCCAAACCGGGGGAUCCCUGGGUGGCUCAGCAGUUAAGCGCCUGCCUUCGGCCCAGGGUGUGAUCCUGGAGUCCCGGGAUCAAGUCCCACAUCAGGCUCCUUGCAGGGGAGCCUGCUUCUCCCUCUCCCUGUGUCUCUGCCUCUUUUUCUCUCUGUAUAUGUCUUUCACAAAUAAAUAAAUAAAAUCUUAAAAAAAAAAAGAAAUUGCCAAACCAUCUUCCAAAAUGAGUAUGUUACCUUGCAUUCCCACCAGCAAUGAGCAGAGGUUCUGUUCCCAUUGCUCCACAGAGGUUCCCAUUGCUCCACAUUCUCACAGCGUGGAGUGUUGUCAGUAUUCUGGUUUUGGCCAUUCUCAUAGGUACAUGGGGGUAACUCAUUGCUUUAAUUUGCAACUCACUAAUUUGAUGUUGAGAAUAUUUUCUUUUUUUUAAGAUUUUAUUUAUUUAUUUAUGAGACACACACACACACACACACACACACACACACAGAGGCGGAGACACAGGCAGAGGGAGAAGCAGGCUCCAUGCAGGGAGCCCGACAUGGGACUCGAUCCCAGGUCUCCAGGAUCAAGCCCUGGGCUGAAGGCAGUGCUAAACUUGCUGAGCCACCCGGGCUGCCCAAUUUUCAUAUGCUUAUUUGCCAC